Molecule: ribosomal RNA, 502 nt
Filed under: uncultured bacterium
Lineage: Bacteria
Description: partial 16S ribosomal RNA
Rfam family: Bacterial small subunit ribosomal RNA
Source: RNAcentral
GAUUAACGCUGGCGGCGUGCCUAACACAUGCAAGUCGAGCGGCAGCGAGUUUUACACUGAAUUCUGGAAGCUUCUAGUUGAAAGAGAAGAUUUAUUCAAGAAUUUUGUGUAAAAUGUCGGCGAGCGGCGGACGGCUGAGUAACGCGUGGGAACGUACCCCAAAGUGAGGGAUAACGCAUCGAAAGGUGUGCUAAUACCGCAUAUGGUCUUCGGAUUAAAGCCUUCGGGCGCUUUGGGAACGGCCUGCGUAAGAUUAGAUAGUUGGUGGGGUAAUGGCCUACCAAGUCGACGAUCUUUAACUGGUUUGAGAGGAUGAUCAGUCAGACUGGAACUGAGACACGGUCCAGACUCCUACGGGAGGCAGCAGUGAGGAAUCUUCCACAAUGGGCGAAAGCCUGAUGGAGCAACGCCGCGUGCAGGAUGAAGGCCUUCGGAUUGUAAACUGCUUUUAUAAGUGAGGAUUAUGACAGUAACUUAUGAAUAAGGAUCGGCUAACUACGUG